CGGCGAGUGAAGAGGAAAGAGCUCAAAGUUGGAACCUGCUUGGCUUAGCCAAGCCGGAUUGUAAACUGUAGAAGUGUUUUCCUGACACGCCAGGCAAAAAAGUCCUUUGGAACAGGGCAUCAUAGAGGGUGAGAAUCCCGUCUUUGGCCUGAGCAGUUGUCUUUUGCGAUACACUUUCAAAGAGUCAGGUUGUUUGGGAAUGCAGCCUAAAUUGGGUGGUAAAUCUCACCUAAAGCUAAAUAUUGGCGAGAGACCGAUAGCGAACAAGUACCGUGAGGGAAAGAUGAAAAGAACUUUGAAAAGAGAGUUAAACAGUAUGUGAAAUUGUUAAAAGGGAACCGUUUGGAGCCAGACUGGCUUGGCUGUAAUCAAUCUGGGCUUUUGCCCGGAUGCACUUGCGGCCUAUGCCUGCCAACGACAGUUUUAUUUGGGGGAAAAAACCAGGCGGAAUGUGGCCCCUUUGGGGGUGUUAUAGCCUCUUGGAAAAUACCCUGGAUUGGACUGAGGAUCGCAGCGAAUGCCAUUAGGCGAGAUUGCGGCGUGCUUUCGCUGAUAAAUGCUAGAAUUUCUGCUUCGGGUGGUGCUAGUGUUUAAAGGUGGAACCCGCGCUGUAUAUUUUUUAUUCGCUUAGGUUGUUGGCUUAAUGA
RNAcentral lists this ribosomal RNA (647 nucleotides) under Actinomucor elegans. RNAcentral's name for it is "partial large subunit ribosomal RNA". It matches the Rfam family "Eukaryotic large subunit ribosomal RNA", at positions 87 to 637 of the family's 3401-position model. Lineage: Eukaryota; Fungi; Mucoromycota; Mucoromycetes; Mucorales; Mucoraceae. The record is from RNAcentral.